AGUAACGGCGAGUGAAGCGGGAAGAGCUCAAGCUUAAAAUCUGCGGCGCUUGCGUCGUCAGAAUUGUAGUUGAGAGAAGUGCUUUCACCGUGACGACCGAUGGCCUAAGUUGCUUGGAACAGCACGUCAUAGAGGGUGAGAAUCCCGUCUGUGGUUGGUCGGUCCAGCGGAACGAUGCACUUUCGAAGAGUCGGGUUGUUUGGGAAUGCAGCCCAAAAUGGGUGGUAAACUCCAUCUAAAGCUAAAUACUGCCACGAGACCGAUAGCGAACAAGUACCGUGAGGGAAAGAUGAAAAGCACUUUGAAAAGAGAGUUAAAAGCACGUGAAACCGUUGAAAGGGAAACGCGCUCGGCUAGCAAUGCACGUCAAUGGUUCAGCCGGCUAGUCUUGUCGAGUCGCCGCUUGAUGGAUCCGAACGGACCGCGGGUGGUGGCAUCGGUGGGCGAGCUGUGGUGCACUCCGUGGGCGUGCGCGUCAGCGUCGGUUCUCGACGGGCGAUGAGGUGCGUGCGGGGAAGGUAGCUCGGUCCUCGGACGGAGUGUUAUAGACCCGCUCGGCGCUGGGCUCGUCGUGGGACCGAGGAGAGAGAUGAUCGUUGCGGCGCCUGCUUAGCUAGCCAGCCGCUGUCGGGUGCGGCGUCACGCGUCGAGGACUGCACGCAGUGCUUGGUGCGGAGGCGUGAUCCGGCGGUGGUGUGGGCAUAGAGGCGCCUAGGACGCUGGCGUCCAAAUGGCCGUGCGCGACCCGUCUUGAAACACGGACCAAGGAGUCUAACAUGUGCGCGAGU
Molecule: ribosomal RNA, 788 nt
Filed under: Leucosolenida sp. 1 JV-2020
Lineage: Eukaryota; Metazoa; Porifera; Calcarea; Leucosolenida
Description: partial large subunit ribosomal RNA
Rfam family: Eukaryotic large subunit ribosomal RNA
Source: RNAcentral